UUGAACGCUGGCGGCAGGCCUAACACAUGCAAGUCGAGCGCGAAAGUUCUUCGGAAUGAGUAAAGCGGCGGACGGGUGAGUAACGCGUGGGAAUCUGCCUAGUAGUGGGGGACAACAGCCGGAAACGGCUGCUAAUACCGCAUACGCCCUACGGGGGAAAGGGGGGGAUCUUCGGACCUCUCGCUAUUAGAUGAGCCCGCGUCGGAUUAGCUAGUUGGUAGGGUAAAGGCCUACCAAGGCUACGAUCCGUAACUGGUCUGAGAGGGUGAUCAGUCACACUGGAACUGGGACACGGUCCAGACUCCUACGGGAGGCAGCAGUGGGGAAUAUUGGACAAUGGGGGCAACCCUGAUCCAGCCAUGCCGCGUGUGUGAAGAAGGCCUAGGGUUGUAAAGCACUUUCAGUGGGGAGAAAGGUUUGUCACCUAAUACGUGAUGAAAUUGAUGUUACCCACAGAAGAAGCACCGGCUAACUCCGUGCCAGCAGCCGCCGUAA
This 495-nucleotide ribosomal RNA is filed under the name uncultured bacterium. RNAcentral describes it as "partial 16S ribosomal RNA". It matches the Rfam family "Bacterial small subunit ribosomal RNA", at positions 30 to 523 of the family's 1533-position model. The record is from RNAcentral.